Molecule: long non-coding RNA, 551 nt
Organism: Xenopus tropicalis (tropical clawed frog)
Lineage: Eukaryota; Metazoa; Chordata; Amphibia; Anura; Pipidae
Exons: 3
Source: RefSeq, a predicted model, not a curated record
UAGCUUAUUUGUUUGCACCAUCUUAUUCCAUCUUAAUUUCUUUCAGGAGAUGCUGGCUACCCGUGCGGUCGGUGGCUAAUAACACCAAUUCACAGGCCGCGCUCACGGGCGGAGUGUGACUUCAAUCAAGCACAUGUGAGAACGCGGUCUGUGAUAGAGCGGACGUUUGGUGUCCCCAAGAGCCGGUUCCGCUGCCUCAACAGAUCAGGAGGCAGCCUGCUGUACAGCCCCACCAAAGUGGCAAAUAUCAUCGCUGAGGUGGCCGAUGACCUUGAGGACCCCGUCCAUCCACCGGAUCCUGUCCAACGUGCGGAUGCCCAAAGGAGUCAAGUCCGGGGACAAAUUGUUAAUAAUUACUUUGCCUGAUCGCUGCGUGGGGAGGCCAGCCCAGACAAGGAGCAACCACCUUUGAAAAGAAAGAAGAAAAAAAACUUAGUUCAUUUUGGAUUAUGUUCAUGGACAAUAAUGAGUUUUGUGAAAACAUAAACAAGUUAAUUUUGGCCAAAAUAUUUGUGGACAUUGAUUCAUUCCAAAUAAGGCAAAAAGGUAAA